This 502-nucleotide ribosomal RNA is filed under the name uncultured bacterium. RNAcentral's name for it is "bacterial SSU rRNA". It matches the Rfam family "Bacterial small subunit ribosomal RNA", at positions 28 to 528 of the family's 1533-position model. The record is from RNAcentral.
GAUGAACGCUAGCGGGAGGCUUAACACAUGCAAGUCGAGGGGCAGCACGUCUUCGGAUGGUGGCGACCGGCGCACGGGUGAGUAACACGUAUGCAACCUGCCUUCUACUAUGGGAUAACCCGUUGAAAGACGGACUAAUACCGUAUAAUACAGGGGCUCCGCAUGGAGAUAUUUGUUAAAGAUUUAUUGGUAGAAGAUGGGCAUGCGUAUGAUUAGAUAGUUGGUGAGGUAACGGCUCACCAAGUCAACGAUCAUUAGGGGUUCUGAGAGGAAGGUCCCCCACACUGGUACUGAGACACGGACCAGACUCCUACGGGAGGCAGCAGUGAGGAAUAUUGGUCAAUGGACGAGAGUCUGAACCAGCCAAGUCGCGUGAAGGAAGACGGUUCUAUGAAUUGUAAACUUCUUUUGUGCAGGAAUAAAGUGGGUUACGUGUAACCUUUUGUAUGUACUGUACGAAUAAGGAUCGGCUAACUCCGUGCCAGCAGCCGCGGUAAUCUGU